GGUUGGAGCCCGCAGUAGCGGGGGAGCCGCUCCUAGGGGCACUCGCAACCACCACGGAGUGAGCAGGGCCAAAAGGGUCAGAUUUCUGCCCACAAAAUUCAUCAUCAGAGUCAUCCACAGACUCAGCGUCAGCCUCCUCACUAGACCCGAUUUCUGAGUCGGAGUCACUCUCUUUUUGUGCUCUAGCACAUUUCCACUGUCGCGCACGUUCUGCCUGGCGCGGAAAGGC
Molecule: non-coding RNA, 229 nt
Organism: Pelobates cultripes (western spadefoot toad)
Lineage: Eukaryota; Metazoa; Chordata; Amphibia; Anura; Pelobatidae
Source: the annotation of a GenBank genome assembly